GAGUGCUCUCACACAAUCCAUCUCACCCCUUGUGCACCACCGCGUGGGUCCCUCUCCGGCUCCUCCGGAGGGGGGCUCGCGUUUUCACACAAACUUGAAGUAGUGUAGAAUGUCCUUUUUUGCGAUAACACGCAAUCAAUACAACUUUCAACAACGGAUCUCUUGGCUCUCGCAUCGAUGAAGAACGCAGCGAAAUGCGAUACGUAAUGUGAAUUGCAGAAUUCAGUGAAUCAUCGAAUCUUUGAACGCACCUUGCGCCCCUUGGCAUUCCGAGGGGCACACCCGUUUGAGUGUCGUGAAAUUCUCAAAACCCUUUCUUUUGGUCAUUUUCGACCAUCGAAAGGAUUUUGGACUUGGAGGCCUUUUUGCUGGUUUCACCUUGAAGCGAGCUCCUCCCAAACGUAUUAGUGGGGUCUGCAUUGUCGGUCCUUGGCGUGAUAAGUUGUUUCUACGUCUUGGAUUUUUGGCGCUGUACACCUGCUUCUAACCGUCUCAUUGACAACGAUGGUGUUCCGGUCGCCGCCGAUUUUUCGGUGGGG
This 539-nucleotide ribosomal RNA is filed under the name Russula norvegica. Its description in RNAcentral is "eukaryotic LSU rRNA". The stretch from base 143 to 296 matches the Rfam family "5.8S ribosomal RNA". The record is from RNAcentral. Lineage: Eukaryota; Fungi; Basidiomycota; Agaricomycetes; Russulales; Russulaceae.